AACGAACGCUGGCGGCAUGCCUAACACAUGCAAGUCGAACGAGACCUUCGGGUCUAGUGGCGCACGGGUGCGUAACGCGUGGGAAUCUGCCCUUGGGUUCGGAAUAACAGUUGGAAACGACUGCUAAUACCGGAUGAUGACGUAAGUCCAAAGAUUUAUCGCCCAGGGAUGAGCCCGCGUAGGAUUAGCUAGUUGGUGGGGUAAAGGCCUACCAAGGCGACGAUCCUUAGCUGGUCUGAGAGGAUGAUCAGCCACACUGGGACUGAGACACGGCCCAGACUCCUACGGGAGGCAGCAGUGGGGAAUAUUGGACAAUGGGCGAAAGCCUGAUCCAGCAAUGCCGCGUGAGUGAUGAAGGCCUUAGGGUUGUAAAGCUCCUUUACCCGGGAUGAUAAUGACAGUACCGGGAGAAUAAGCCCCGGCUAACUCCGUG
RNAcentral lists this ribosomal RNA (433 nucleotides) under uncultured bacterium. RNAcentral's name for it is "partial 16S ribosomal RNA". It matches the Rfam family "Bacterial small subunit ribosomal RNA", at positions 29 to 507 of the family's 1533-position model. The record is from RNAcentral.